Molecule: ribosomal RNA, 408 nt
Filed under: Bacillus sp. A334
Lineage: Bacteria; Bacillati; Bacillota; Bacilli; Caryophanales; Bacillaceae
Description: bacterial SSU rRNA
Rfam family: Bacterial small subunit ribosomal RNA
Source: RNAcentral
GUUUGAUCCUCUGAAACCCUAGAGAGGGCUUCUCCUUCGGGAGCAGAGUGACAGGUGGUGCAUGGUUGUCGUCAGCUCGUGUCGUGAGAUGUUGGGUUAAGUCCCGCAACGAGCGCAACCCUUGAUCUUAGUUGCCAUCAUUAAGUUGGGCACUCUAAGGUGACUGCCGGUGACAAACCGGAGGAAGGUGGGGAUGACGUCAAAUCAUCAUGCCCCUUAUGACCUGGGCUACACACGUGCUACAAUGGACGGUACAAAGAGCUGCAAGACCGCGAGGUGGAGCUAAUCUCAUAAAACCGUUCUCAGUUCGGAUUGUAGGCUGCAACUCGCCUACAUGAAGCUGGAAUCGCUAGUAAUCGCGGAUCAGCAUGCCGCGGUGAAUACGUUCCCGGGCCUUGUACACACCGA